AUCCGCAAAAACUACUAGUAGACC
RNAcentral lists this microRNA (24 nucleotides) under Pristionchus pacificus. Its description in RNAcentral is "ppc-miR-8313-5p". Lineage: Eukaryota; Metazoa; Nematoda; Chromadorea; Rhabditida; Neodiplogasteridae. The record is from miRBase by way of RNAcentral.